Molecule: long non-coding RNA, 2521 nt
Organism: Lontra canadensis (Northern American river otter)
Lineage: Eukaryota; Metazoa; Chordata; Mammalia; Carnivora; Mustelidae
Exons: 2
Source: RefSeq, a predicted model, not a curated record
CCGGUGUGUGCUGGGCGCAGGGAAGACACAGCGCCGCGGGCCGUGGGGAACGGACGCACUGAUUUGCUCCCUUACCCUCAGCAACCCCCCCACCCAGCACCAGGAGCCUGUCCCUCCCACAUCCUCACUUGGCUGAGCCGCAGUAGUUCUUCAGUGGCAAGCUUUAUGUCCUGACCCAGCUAAAGCUGCCAGUUGAAGAACUGUUGCCCUCUGCCACUGGCUUCAAGGAGGAGGAGGAAGAAGAGAAGGAGCUGCUUUCCCCUUCAUCUGGAAGGUGACAGAGCUGGGGCUGGGAAGGUCCGAACAGUGGGAGUGAUGAUACCUUUUGGGAGAGGGAACCUGGUCAGUUAGAGAGCCUUCAGCCAGACUGGCCCAGCAAGAGACAACAAUUUUAGAUUAGAGACCCUGGUUGGUUUGGGGAAUAGAUGGCUGUGACCAAGCAAGGUUAGUUGGUCUACACUGCUGUGACAAGAGGAAGAUAACAGGAGCAAAGAAAAUUGCCUACCCCUUUACCCAGAUGUCUUUCUUGGCCCUCCUUCCUUGUUUCCCUUUCUUUCCUACUGCCUUUCCAGGUGAGGUCCAAAGUAAAUUUCUUCAGGGAAGAGGUCAUACUGAAACUCCCAUGUGAGUAGUCAUCCCCAUGCUCUUACCUUUCCGUCUAUUUCCUUAGACUGGCCCAGACUCUAGAUUUGGUGAUAAUCACCUAUAUGUGGGACUUGUUAGACCUCUUGUCUCGGCUUCUCCACCUGUGAGAUGGGGAAUCACACAAUUGAGUGUGCAGGAGGGAAUCAGAAGCCUACUUCUGUGAACUGCUCAGAGCCUGGGCUCUUCUCUCCCUGUGGGUGGGAACAGAACAGCUUUCCACAUAAGCUAUUGCCCCUCCCCCCUUCCCUGAACACCAUGACCCAAGGAGGGUGGGGGAGAGGAUUAGAAAGGGGGUGUAGGGUUAUACCAGUGCAGGGGACCAGGAGGAGCUCAUUCUUUCCAUUGACAUCCCACCAUGCAAAGGUGGCCCCAGGCUUCCUCUGCCACCCAAAACAGGACUGCAGCCCCUGAUAGGGUUCCAACUGCUGUUCUGUUUCUUCCUCACUUUACCUUCCAGGAUAGUUUGUGAGACUGCUCAGGCUUGUGCAGGCAGGAAAUUCCCUCCAACAACCAGGAGAGGUGAACUGUGGGAUGUGAUGCCCUUUGGAACAUCAAGCAGUAUAAGCCUACCACCCUCACCCCAGCUCCUGAUGCAGUCUAACUCUUGGGGCUCAGUUCCGGCGUGGUUCAACCAUGGCCCAGAUGCCCUACCUGAAGGUGGCCAAAUUCAGCGGCUAGAGGGAGCUGUCCUGUCAUGGGGCAGGAGGUGUGGAGAUAGCAGGGUCCUAGUCUCCAUUAAUGAGAAACAGAUUUAGGGGAGAGUAGAUCAUCGAAUCCACCCUCCUGCAGCCUAAGCUGCAGGAGGUGUAUGUGGGACUGCAGUGGCGGGUGUGGGUAGACUGAGUCAAUUCAGAGUCUGCAACAAAGAUUGCUCUGUCCCUGGACAUUGCUUCCAUCCUUUCUUCCCCUCCCCGCCUCACUGGCCACAGUGUCUCUGUCCAGCCCUGGUUCUAGGGCUCUGCCAUCCUUACCCAUCCUGACCCAUCGUGAAGUAAAGAUGAGGAAGAACAGCCUGGGAACACAGAGGUAGGCAGAAGACCAGUGAAGGACCAGGCCUAGAGAGCACAGGGCCCUGUCUGGGCACCCCUCAGAGGGGACCCAUAAAGGGCAGAAACACCCUAGGAGGAGGAAGGACAGCCAGCCUCCUUCAAGGAUAAGCUCCCAGCCAUCUGCCUCAUUCACUAUUUCUCUCCAUUGUACUUACUGCCUCCCUCAGAGAUAGGAGACUGUAUCACAGUGUCCUGUGGCUUCAUUCUCCUACUUCUACCUCCUUACCUUUUAAUUUUUAUAUAAAGUGGACUCAAGGAGCAAGAACCAGCUGUGAAAGGACAUAAGUAGGAAAUUCAGAGAAGAAAUUCAAAUGGAUAAAACCAUGAAAAACAAUGUGUUUCAUUAGUAAUUAAAGAAAGACAAAUAUAGCCGAAAGCAUUUUUCCCUCAGCAAACUAUAUUAAAAAAAAAAAAAAAAGAACCAGCGUUGGCAAAGAAAUAAGAAAAUAACACUCCCAUACAUUGCCUGUAGCGGGGGCCAAUUGGUACAGCCUUCCUGACCGUUGGUGAUAGGUCUCAAAUACUCUAAAAGUUUCCAUCGCCUUAGACCUAGUAAUUGUACAUUUGGGAAUUUAUCCUAAGAAAAUAAUGAAAGAUUUAGUCACAAGAUGCUCAUCCGAGUAUUGCAGUAGAGAAAAUGAGAAGCAACUGUCUGAUUGGGAAUUCAUUUCUUUUCUGCUGUAAUAAAAAUUUGCAAUGGGGGAUUCCUUAAGUAAAUCAUUGUAUAUCCAUCCAGAUGGUGGAGUACUGCACAGCCAUUAAAAGUCAUGUAGAAGAACAUUUGGAAAGAAAAAUGCUCUUUGAAUAUUAAAAAUGUUAUAAAAAUA